RNAcentral lists this unclassified non-coding RNA (278 nucleotides) under Hevea brasiliensis (rubber tree). Lineage: Eukaryota; Viridiplantae; Streptophyta; Magnoliopsida; Malpighiales; Euphorbiaceae. The record is from RNAcentral.
AUUAUACACCGGGGGAAUGAAGUUUGUGGAAAGCGUUCAUAUGCAGCAUCCCAGGGGAAGAAACUGGCUUAGAGCAGCUUUAAGCAUCAAUCUCAAUUGCAGAACAUCUUCAUAUGCUGAGGAAUCAGAAAGUAGAGUAAGAAUGAUAAGCUUGAGCAGUGGCUUGUUUGUGAUCAACUCUGUUGAGCAGCCGAGUGCUUUUUAUGGAGUUCUACCGGACAGGCAUUCACUCAUGUAGGCAAAUAUAUAGAAAUUGGGUUUUUGAUCCACGACUAGGU